Molecule: long non-coding RNA, 20893 nt
Filed under: Phaseolus vulgaris (common bean)
Lineage: Eukaryota; Viridiplantae; Streptophyta; Magnoliopsida; Fabales; Fabaceae
Description: long non-coding RNA (PVUL_LNC001095)
Source: RNAcentral
UGUUGGUGGUUGUCCAUACCCUGAUUGAGAUUGUGCAUUAUAUGCAUUAUAGCUGUCCUGAGCAUAACCCUGUCCGGGUUGGCUAUAACCAGAAGAAGGUGGUUGACUAUAAUUGUAUGCAGAGCCAUCAGCUGGAGGUGCAGGACCUCCAGGAUUUUGUGGUUGCUGUGGCUGUUGACUAUAGUAAUCAUAGCCACCAGCAUGAGUUGACUGUUGGUGAGAUGGUGCAGAAGACUGGUCCCAAUUGGUGGAAUAUCCACCUGGUUGUUGGGGAGGAUAGCCCGAAUAUUGUUGCUGAGGCAUGUUAUACUGAGGUGAUGGACCAGAAUAUGCUCCAGGUUGCACAUAUCCAUAACCAGGUUGCUGCAUUGGUGCAGGGGGGGCCCAGUUAGAGGGUGGUCGAGAUUGGUAACCUUGCUGAGGAUACCCACCAGACAUUGAAGGAUUUCUAAGACGAUUCUGUGGAUUCAAAUUGAAAACCAAAAUAAAGGGAGUGAGUUCACCCAAAUUUCCACACAAGACAAGUAUAGGAAGCAACAUAUGCACACAUACACAGGUUAAACUUACAAAUGCAAAAAUCAACAUGUAAUGAACACGAGAUAAAGGGUAUAUAUAUUAUCUUGCAUUAACGGGUUGCAUACAUGAUCAGAAAGGGAUACGAAUACCUACAUACCGUACUGGUUCGUGAUAAAACUGAGUUACUCCAGCAGAAGCACACCCUUUCCCUAUUCGAAUUGAAUGGGUACAAAAGAAAGCACAGACCAUAGAAGCAAACAAUCAUUCAAUAUUUAUUGCCUUGAAAAGGCAAUCCAUCAUAUAGUAUAUCAAUAUGCAAUAUCUUACUCCAAUUGUUACACUAUACAAUAUAUCAUUCAUAUUCAUAUUAAUUCAACAAGAGUGACUGGACUACAGAUAUUUCACACCCUAUUAAGAUGAAUGCGCAACUCCAAAUUCAAAUAUACAGACUGUUGAAACAACUUUUCUGUGCUCCCAUGUACAUUCUCUCAUCCUUUGUACAACCCAUUCUAAUAGUCCAACCUCGGGAUCAUCAGUUAAAAACAAUAAAAUUAAAUAUUAUUUUAAUGGAACAUGAAUUAGAAAGAAAAGAAAAAUAAUUGAAUGAGGCAGAACAGAAGUGGCACAAAAUGUAUAACAGACAAAUCUUAAUAGAAAUCUUAAACAUAACUGGUUAGUUAAGAAAACUAUUUAACACUGGACAAGAAUAAUAAAACUGGACAAGAAUAAUAGUAUAGGGAAAAUAAUUAAAGUGCUGAACGACGGACAAAUUUCAGGUUACCUAUGCCAAAUGUAAGUCCAGUAUAAGAUACGAGGAUAAAAUACUACUCCAAGUACACUAAGGUUCUUUUUAGAAAUAAACUGAAAAGCACAAGAGACCUAGUUGAAAACUAUUUCAACAUAAUUCAACAUUGAGUCUAAUAAUGACACUAUAGUCAAAAAGUAUUAGUAGGAGACUUACUGCCCUUGAUAAUAAAUAUCAAAACUGAGAUUUAGAACCAUACCAGGGCAUGCUGAGGGAACACCAACAAAAGGAUUCAUGUUGGUGUCACCAAUGGUCCAAUAGACACUAACCCUACAACAGUCCCAAUAACAAUAUCAGUCAUAGGAUACACAAUUAAUAAGCAUAUUCCACUGUCGAAAGGUUAUAAUCUCAAUGAGUAUCCAUCUGGCCCAAAAAUAUUUCAUAAUAACAGUAGCCUUCAGAGCACCAGGAAUCUAAACCAACAAAAACAAUGAAAGACGCACCUCACCAAAGCACUGGGCUAAGUGAAAAACACAAUUAAAAUACGGUCUUUGUAAAUAUAUGGUAUCUUGGUCAAGAAAACUGACAGGCCAAUUCUAAAAUAUUGCUACCAACGUCCUUGAUUCGUGGAUGUAUAAAAGAGAUAAUGGCUAAGACGUAUUAGCUAAUUAUAUAGAGCAGACUACACAUACACAAACAUAAAGACACAGUUGACAAGUCAGACCCUGAAAGUUCAUCAUGACCAUCACCUAAUCCUAGACUAAACAUAAAGGAAGAUGCGUAUUGCUAAUAUAUCAAGACUGUUAAUCGAACAAGAUACCAUACAAUUGUUAACAACAUUAUACAGCUAAUAAUUGAUGGCUAUAGCAGUGAACGGUCUCACUAAUCAUGUUUCCACUUGGCCAGCUGACGCAACAACACUGAGGAGUUGGAGAUUACAAGCAAGAACAUCGUAACAGCCAUUAGUCUUCUACCUUUGUGCAUUAUUUUGCAUAAGUCUUGAAACACUUGCACAAUAUGAAAAUAUGUACUAAUUUUCUUUUGAGAACAAUACAGUAGGUAACAGAGAUCCGAAUAAUAUUAAUGUAUCAUAUAAUAAAGACCACUUGUUAAAGGCACAUUAGGCUCUGAAAAAAUUUCUACUUCCUUAAACAUACUCUAUCAUCUAAGCUGCUUUGGAAGAGAGAUCAAUGCAUCCCGAAUAUGCAUCAAGUUACUAAUAAUUGUCAUACAGCUAAGCUGCUUCGGUCCAGAUCAAAACAUCAAUAAUAUACAAUGUAUAAUAAUGGUCACAGUGUUAUGCUGUAUCAAUAAUAAGAUCAAGGAAUUAAUUAAUAUGAACAGAAUAAAUGUCAUUUAUGCAAAACUAAAGUGAAAACCAUCACAUGAUUUACCAAAACUAUUUUUUCCCUGCAAAGGAACAAAUCGGAGAGUACAAAAAUCAUGUAUCAUGUUACAGGAAUCAAUCAGAUCUAACUUUAUAUUUUAAUAUCAUAAAAAAUAAAAAGACCCAACAGGCAAUGACAAGCACACCGUAUUCAUCUCACAAUAACAUAAAGCUUGCACGUAAAUCAACCUAGUUUGAUCAAACAGUCUAGAUGAUAAAUAGAUUGUGCAACAUACAGAGUACAAAACCCAGUAGAAAAACAGCAAUUUUAAACACUAGACUAGACUUGGCCUUACCAGGCAGAUAUGCCUAAGCCAAAUCUGGCAAAAAGAAGCACCAUUAACAUACCUCGCCACUGAUGAUUUGAUUAACCAACUCCUUUGCAGACUCAAUUUGCUCAGGUGUCCCAUCAACUUUUAAUGUUCUUUCAGUUGAUGUGUCACCUGGAGGAAGAUGCAGAGGUAUCACCUGAAAAAACAUAUAAACAUUAGCCAAAAGUCAUAAAAGUUGGCCGUUAACACAAUCUCUUUUCAAAUUAGUUGCAAUCACAAAGCUACGGUAAAAAAAAACAUAACAACAAGGCUACACUAACUAUGAUUUAUCACCGAUAUCUAAUACACAAAUAAGAGAACAGCGUUCUAUAUAUCACUUAUAAGUACAAACCUGAAUCCGUGCUCCUGUAGAAGCUUGCAUAUUCUUUAUAGUUUCUCCUCCUUUGCCAAUUAUAAGGCCAACCUGAAGAUGCACACGAUAAACAUAUCAACCCAAAGAGAUAGAAAAAAACAGAUCUGAACACGGAAAUUACGCAUGACAUUGUACAAAGCAUACACUCAUAUCUCCCUUUCACACCUUAUUAUUUGGAAUUCUCAUGACAAAUUCAUCUGACCCAGCUUGUCCAGUCAGUCUUCGAGCAACAAUGCCAGAACCUCCAGAUUCAGCCUGGUACAACAACAGUUGUCAUCGUAUAUAUUGCAAUAAUUAAACAUGUGAGAAAUUUAUCAAGAAACAGACCUCCUUCGUAAGAUUAUCGUAACGUCAAAUCUAUGAUAAACGAAAUUUAAUACAUACAUGAUUCACAGAAAAAAAAAUAGUAUAAAAUGUGAUUAACCUCAGCAAGAACUUCAUUUAUGAGUUUCUCCGCAGAAGCAAUUGCCUCGGGAGUGCCCAUAAGCUCAACCGUUCUUGAAGUAGAAUUAGGGUCGGCGUCCAUAUCGCGAGUAACUUGAAUUUUAGCACCAGACUGCAACUGGAGAUACUUAAUAGUCUCUCCACCUUUGCCAAUAAUCACACCAACCCUGCCGUUAGGGAUAUCGAUCUUCUUGCUCGUUCCUUGGUGACUGUAGGAGACGGGAGGAACGGCUGAGUACUGAGGCUUCGCAUCUACGUUCACGGAAAACAGAGUUUAUAAAACCCUAACCUAAACGAGAAGAAUAGUGGAGCAGAGGGGAUAGCUAGUUACCGUAAGAAUCGAAGCCGGAGGUAGGAGCGCCGUUAUCGGGUUUGGCACGCUUGGCGUCGAGCGGGGGAGGAGGAGCAACGCUGAGGAGGCGAGUGGCGACUUCUUGAGCACGCUGCUUGGCAAGCUCGAUGCCGGUAGCGGGGCCGGCGGAGAAGCCGGUGGGUCUAUCGGAGGAUUGGUCUUCAUACUUGCGUUUGAGGGGCGUAGAGUCGUUGGGAGAUGAAUAGUGGGCUUCGUCCGCCAUUGGCACAAACCCUAAAGACGUUAGGUGUGUAAGAGAGGGUGGUGAUGUUAUUUAUAAUAUAUAGUGGUGGCUAGUGUGACCCCUACCAUGGGUGGGGCAGGGUAGAAAAAAAGGAGAUAUUUUGCAUCCCUUCGCUUGAGGCACCUUUACGUCAUUCAUACAAUUAUACAGAUAAAACUAUUUUUAUCUCUAUUUUUCUAUCUAUCAUCUUAUUAUUUUUAAUUUUUCUAUCUAUUUUUUAUUUUUAAGAUUUUAUAUUUAAGAUAAACAUUUUGAUAUUAUCGGUGUAUCUACUACUAAUUAAUAUUAAUUAACUUUUAAUUUUUUAUAAUUAUAUCUUGUGUUUUUAUUUAAAAUUAACAUGAUUACAUCAUCAAUAAUAAUAAAAAUAAAACUAAUUUAUGUUUAUAGAUUCAACUUUUAUGUUAUUGUAGGGUUUAAUUUUUUAUUUUCUUCAUUUUUAAAAAAUUAAACUAAACAUUUUUAAUUUACUACUUUUUUAUUUUUAUUUUGUAAAAAAUCAUUUUUUUAUUUAUUAAUUAUAUUUCUAACUAUUUAAAACAUUAAAUUAUUUUUUUAAUGCAUUCAAAAAUAAAAUUAUCAAAAAAAUUAAUUUAUUAAUUUUAAUUUUUUUACUUUUGAAAUGGUGUUAGAUAGGGAUAUAAAAAUAAAAGAGUGUUAGGUAAGAAAAUAAAGACAAGUGCGGGAAAAUAAAAAUGUAAAUAGUGUUGUUAUAUGAGGGAUUGAAUCUACAAUUCUCACUUCAUUUCAACUUUUUCGCUGUUUCUUUAAUCAAUAUUUUUUAAUAAUAUUCAUACAAAAAUAAAGGUAAUUUUUUAAUGAUAUGUUUUUUUAUUAACAAUGAUAUAUUUUAUUAAAUAAGAGUUUAUUUGCGAUAUUUUUUGUAAACUUUAUUCGGUUAAAUUGAAAAAAUUAGUAUUGAGUGACUUUUUAUGGAUUUUUAAAAUUAAAAAAAAAAAUAAAGAAGCCUAUAGGAUAAAAAUAAAUAUGUUGCUUAUGGAUUCAGUUGAAAUUAUCUUAAAGAGAAACUUUAUUUGAAUUAGUUAUAAUAAGUUUAUUUAAUUAAUGUAUUAGUAUAUUAACAAUUACCAUAUACAAUUUAGAUAUUGGCAUUCUCAUUAGUAUUUUUUUAAUAUUUUUUACCGUGAGAUCAUACAACUGAUGUAAUGGUCAAGGUUAACGGCCCCACGACCGAUAGUUCAAGUCCAGUUAUGCUCAAUCAAGGUCGACGAAGUUAAUUCGUGAUUAGGAGUCAAGUAAUGCAUCCCUAAGCAUGAUUCAGCCCCUUAACCCGACCCAAUAAAAAAAGUCAAUCAAAGAUAAUAUAAGAUUUGAUUCAAAUAUUAUAUGUGAAACUAAUAUAAGAUUUGAUUAAAAUAUUAUAUGUAAGACUAAUACAAGAUUUAUAAAUAAAAUUUAUGAACUCGACUUUAUAAAUAGAUUAAUUAUAUAUAUACUAAUAGAUGUGAACAUACAUAUUUAAAAUUAUAUAUGACUUUAACUAAAUAUUUAUUUAUUAAAAGUAUUUAUUAUUCUAGCUGAAUCCUGAUAUCGAACAACUUUUUACAAAUACUCCACACGUAUUUAGUACCAAGACUUCUUUGAUACUCUCUGUUUGAAUUGAGGUGGAAAUUUGUGAGGAAGGGAGAUAGUGAAUUGAAGAAGAUUAUGGGGAAUGUGUGAUGUUGUUUGGAUUGAGGGAUGAUAGAGUGGAUUUGUUAUGAUUGUUUAUUAAAAUUUGUAAGUGAUGAGAUAGUUAUGACAUAAUUUAGAAAUUAUUUUAAAGGUGUAAAAUGCAAAUUUACAAAUUUAUCUUUGUCAUUAAAAAAUAUUUUAAUAAUGAGUUAGGUUUUUUUUUUUUGUAAGUUUGAGUUAAUUUUUUUUCUAAUAUAUAAUAUUCAUAAUUACUCUUAUUUUGUAAUACAAAAUAAUUCCGUGUUAAAUUAAAAAAAUAUAUUAAAUAUAUUAAAAUUUAUGAAAAUAAUAUUUAUUAUUAUAUACAUUUGUUAUUUUAUAUAAUUAUAAAUGUUUUGUUGAUAUGUCAAAUAAUAUGAAUAAAUUUAGCAACUUGUUCUUCAACUAUUGAAGGAUAUGCAUCCUUAACAAGUUGCCCUAAUUCGUUUACAUAAUAUUGAAUGAAUGCUUAUGGUUACAUGCGAAUAAUGUCAUGAGAACAUCCCGUGUGCACCAAAUACUCCAUCAAUUAUUGUUUGCAAGUUGAGUAUAUAUUUUCAAUUGUUCUUAUAUUUUUUAAAUGAGAUUCAUGUUCACACGAGCAAUAUCAUUAUAAAUUGCAAUUGUAUCAUCAAAUUCUUCUUUGUCGUUUCAAAGUGGUUUCCAAUUGUUUUCGUUAUCCAUCUAAUAUUUACCUUAUCAUUGACAAUCAUAAAAUAGUUUAUCGAUACACAUCAAAUAAUUUAUGCUACGAAUAACUCUAACCACUUAAAGUUGGAGUUAGUGCAAUAGUACUAAGGUUAAUAUUAGAGUGAUGUGAAGAAUAAUGUUAAGAUUAAGACGCACUUUAAUAUUUAUAAUUAAAUCUAUAAAAAAAACACAUAAAAAUAAACAAAACAGUAAAAAUGUAAAAAAGCAAAUUUAAAUUUAAAUGAUUCACUAUAUCUUGUUAAUAAAAAAAUGUAACACUAAACACACAGUAAAAAAAAAAAAUAUAUAUAUAUAUAUAUUAAAAACAAUAAAGACAUUGAAUAAAAAAAACAGUGAACACAAAGUAAUAAGAAAAAUGUAAAUAAAUUUAUAAAAAUUAAAAAUAAUAGAUGUAAAUGCAUUUAUAAAAAACUAAAAAUAAUUACCACAUAAAAAAAAACACUAAACACCUAAAAAAAUUUAAACACAAUUAUUAAAAUUAAAAAUAGUAAACAAAUAAUAAAAAAAAUGUAAAAACAAAAACACAAAAAACACAUAAUAACAAAUAAAUAUACAAAUAUAUUUAUAAAAAAUAAAAACAGUAGUUACAUAAAUUAAAAAGACAUGAUAAUAAAAAAUAUAAAACAUUAAACAAAUAACAAAAAAAAUACAGAACAGUAAUCAAAUAAUAAAAAAUUAAACAGUAAACACAUAAUAUAAAAAAUAUAAAUACAUUUAUAAAAAUAAAAAAUUUAUAAACACAUAUAAAAACAAAAAAAAUUAAAUACAUUUAUAAAAAUUAAAAUCUGUAUGUAAACCCAUAAAAAAGCAAACAAGACAAAAAAAACCUAAGAAAAAAAUUUAAAUACAAUUAUUAAAAUAAAAAAACAAUAAACACAUAAAAAAACUAAACAGUUUCUUGUUAUUAAAAAAAAUUAAAAAACAUUAAACACAUAAUAUAUAUAUAUAUAUAUAUAAAUAUAAUUAAGAAAUAAGUAAAUACAAUAAAAUAAAAUAAAAAUAAAAAAACUAAACAAUAAACACAUAAUAAAUAAAAAAAUAGUAAAAAAACAAUAAAGACAUAAUAAUAAAAGAAAAUGUAAAUACAAUUUUAAAAAAUUAAAAAUAAUAAACUACUUUUUUUAUGAAAUACAUUUAUAAAAUUAAAAAAUAGUAAAUACAAAAAAAAAAGUGUAAAUCCAUUUAUAAAAAUUAAAUACAGUAAACACAUAAUAAAUAAAAAAGUCAAAUAUAUUUAUAAAAAUUAAAUACAAUAAAUACAUAAGAAAAACUAAACAAUAGUACAAAUGCAACAAAAAAAUGUAAAUACAAUUAUUAAGAUUAAAAACAGUAGACAUAUAAAAAAAAUAAACAGUAUCUUGUUAAUAAAAAAGAUAUAAAAACAAUAAAGACAUAAUAACAAAUAUAUAUAUAAAAAUUAAAAACAAUAAAACAUAGAAUAAAAAAAACAACAAACACAAAAUAAUAAAAAAUAUAAAAACAGUAAACAAAUAAUAAUAAAAAUAUAACUUUUUUAUAAAAAAUAAAAACAAUAAACACAUCAACAAAUGUAAAUGCAUUUAUAACAACUAAAAAUGGUAUUAUUAAAAUUAAAAAUAAUAAACACAUAAAAGUAAUAAUAAAAAUGUAAAACAUUAAACACAUAAUAAUAUAAAAAAACAUUAAAGUUAUAAAAUAAAAACUAAACCGUAAACAUAAUAAUAAAAAUAUUUAAUUACCUUAUUCGUCCCUAUAUUUGGGGUCAAUAUUCAAUUUGAUACCGUGGUUUUUAAAAAAAUCAAUUUGGUACCGUGAUUUAAAAAAUAAUCAAUUUGGUCCCUAUGUCUUUUAAAAUGUAUCCAAAUUGGUCUUUCCGUUAAAUCCCUCCUAACAGCUAACAGCGUAAGGUGUUGCUUAUGAUAAAGAGAAUGUCUAUAUGGGGAGAGAGAUGUGAGAUUAUUAUUAUUAUUAUAGUUAUUAUUAAUACUAUUAUUAUUAUUGUUAUUUUUAUUACUAUUAUUAUUAAUAUUAUUUUUCUUAAUAUUAUUACUAUUAUUGAUAUUUUUAUUACUAUUAUUACUAUUAAUAUUAUUUUUCUUAAUAUUAAUAUUAUUAUUAUUACUAAUAAAAAAUAAAAUAAAAAUAGUAAUAAUAAUAAUAUUAAGAAUAAUAAUAAGAAAAAUAAUAUUAAUAAUAAUAAUAAUAAUAGUAAUAAUAAUAUUUAUAUUAAGAAUAAUAAUAAUAAUAAUAAUAAUUCUCAAUCUCACCUCUCCCUCCACAUAAACACUCUAUCUCCCACAUAAACACUCUCUCUAACCCACAUUCUUUCUGUGUCACAUAAGCAACACCUACGCUGUUAGGUGGAACUUAACGGAAAUGACCAAUUUGGAUACAUUUUAAAAUAUAUAGGGACCAAAUUGAUUUUUUUAAAAACCACGGUACCAAAUUGAAUAUUGACCCCAAAUGUAUGGACGAAUAAGGUAAUUAAAUAUAAUAAAAACUGUAAAACCAAUAAACACAUAAUAAUAAAAAAGAAAAGUAAAUACAUUUAGAAAAAUAAAAAACUGUAAACACAAAAUAUAAACUAAACAAUAAAUACAUAUAAAAGAGUAUAAAUAUUGUACUGUUACAGUCUAUAGGACUGAUAGCACGUCUCGAACUUCGUCACUGGAUCGACCGAGUCCCUAUGGCCUGUAUCUAUAAGGGCAAUCGAAAUCAUGAUUCCAAUUACUCUCCAGCAAGAUCAGCAAGGCUAAUCCAUGAUUAGGAGCUAGGUAAUGCAACCCUAAUCACGGUCCAACUCCCUAAUCCAACCCAACAAGAGAAAACUCGUCAAAGGUAAUAUAAAUAACACAUAUUCUAAGGAUCAGGUACAUUAUCUACCGUGCUCUAGCUAUCGAGUGUCGAACCCUUUUGUUGACUUUAGCGUCAAAGUGUCUUCUGCAUGUACUCUCAUUCGGUACUCACGAGACGACCGAGAACCGAGGCUAGGAAGGAAAGGAGAGGAACGAGUAAGAAAGGAAGUUGAAGAGUAGCACAACCGACCCAUAAAAAAGAAGAAGACGAGUUCUCUCAAUAGUUUUUUAGGCCCCAUCCCCGAACGAAAAUAAAUACAUUUAUUAAAAAUAAAAACAGUAAACAUAAUAAAAAAAUAGUUACCACACUUAAUAGAAAAAAACUCUAUAUAAAAAAAAAUUAUUAAAAACUUACGUGAAGGUGAAGGCAGAGAAGAAACCGUGUGAUAAACAUAACCAACCAAAGAACCACUGCAAUCAGACACAAGAAGAUGAACCAAGAUCCAAUCUGAAAAAAAAAAAAAAAACAGAAUGAAUUCCAAUAUUUUUCUCAAAUAAUGACUGAUAAGAUUAAUAAAAAAACUCACACAAAAAUUAAAAUAAAAUGCAACAAUUGUUAUGAUUUAAAGAAGAGGACGGCAACGAAUUUUCGAAACUUUAGACGAGUAAAAAGAAACGAGAUAGGUGAAUUAUAUAGCAAAACCUUUUACUAUAAUAGUAAAACAAAAUUAAGAAAAAAUGUUUAAUUAUUUAUUUUUUAUAUUUUAUUAAAGAAGGAAAUAAAUGGUUAUGUAUGGAGAGGGAAAAGAAUGAAAUUUGGGGAGGAAGGAAUAUGAGAGAAGAAAAGGAAAAGGAUAAAGUGUUGGAAGUGAGGAUUAAUUAUUUCUUAAUUAGAUAUUUAUUUAAAAAUAAUAGAAAUUAAUUUAAAAAUUAAAAAAGAAAAAUUUAAAUAAUUUUUAAUUUAUUUAAUAUUGUAAUUAAUUAUUUUGGUAUUUAAAAGUUGUUUUUUAUUUGAUGAUUGUCUUGUAGUAAUAGAUGACAAACCAUUAUAAUAUUAUAAUAAUAUUUUAUUUUAAAAAUUAAAUUAAAUUAUUAAAAUAUUAAUUUAUUUGUUUGUGAAAUUAUACUGUAUAUAGUGUCCACAUAUCACCAAUCAUUUAAAAUUCUCUACAUCACAAUUUACUGUCUUUUUUGUUUAGUAUGUGAAUUUAUCAGCUUAUUGUGAUUUUAGUUUCUCAAUUUACCCACAUCCCAGGUUAAUAUCUUUUUAAUUCCUAAAAUUAGUUACACAAUGUCAAUUAAGAGAUUAAAGUAGAAAUAAAAUGCUAAAUUCAGAAACUAAAAUACUCAUAAAUAAUUAAAUUCGGAGCUAAAACGAUAAAAUACAGUAAAGUCUGGGAUAAAAAAUUAAUAAAUAAAUAAUGAUAAAGUUAUAGUUUUACCUUAAUUUUUGAAUUUUAGUACUUUCAAAAACUGUUCUUUACCUGUUUUGUGCGACCAACUUAGCACACUGUUGUGUUUCGCGGCUGGGCUGCUUCAUUUCUCUACCACCACCAACAACCAUCGUCUUGUCACCUCAGAGUCAUCUACAGUUGUUCUUGGGGAUUUUGUGUUUUCAUUCACAUUUCACACUUACAUUAAAGGUAAAAACGAUUUUGAAUAUAUAGAUUUUGUUUGCAUAUUGCACCCAUUUUCUUUGUAUUCUUGGCACUGGCUUUUACUUUUUGGAAAAAGGGUUUGUCUCUAACAACGUGAGAAACUGUUGGAAUACCUGUUGGGAGAGAUUAAGCAUAGUGUUUGAAGCAAAAUUGUAUCUUGGAAUGGGAAACAAAAAGUUUAGACAACAGGGUUAACAAAACAAUACUCAUAUCCAUUCUCUCUAUAUUGGUUGUCAUGUACCUGGGUCUGAACAGUUAUACUAUGUUGCAUCUCAGUUCAAAAUGGUCAAAUUUUUCAUUUUCAUCAAUGUCAUUUGUUAUCAAUGUCAUGAUAUUUAGUUUCUCCAUUUGUUGUGUUUAAUGUUUGCUUUAUGAAAACAAGAGAGAUUUAUUCAUUAAUGCUAAGUAGUUAACUCUCUAUGGACUGUAGUAAUCUAAACAGUUUAGCUUUUUCACUUUCCAUUAUCAGUCCUUCUACACCUCUUUCUUCCAAGUCUUGCUACCAUGAAAAGUAGACAUGUCUAUAAUUAUGUGGUUCUGCAUCUAAAUUAUAAUAUAACACUAUAUUAAUAAAUUAGUUUCCAAAAUUAUGGAUUCUAGUUAAUUAGUAUAUGAAAUUGUAAAAGUAUAAUUGGAGUCAUCAAAGUUGGAGGAGUCAUUAUAAUAUUUCAGUACAAGAAUUAAAUUGGCUAAUGAUCUAGAACUAAAUUAUUUGUCAUUUUUUUAAUAUCUAGAAUUCAUAUAACAUUUUAUAAAUUAAAAAAAAACCAUAUGUAUAAAUGAUUUUAUUCAACAAGAGAAUCAUUAAUAAUGUAUUCUUUGUUCACCUCUGGACUCUGUCACUCUAUGUGUGUAUGUGUGUAUACACAGUCAAUUUUAAAUUUUAAAUAUGGUUUUAAUUCUUGUAAUCUACUUUCUGAUAUGUUUCUGGUCACUCUACACAAACUCAGCUUAUCUCUCAAUCUUAAAUAAUUAUGAUUUAAUUUACUGUUUAAAGAAAAAAAUCAGUUAAGUUGUAAAAAAAAAUUGUAUUGUUUUUUUCAUUUUUUUUUUAAAUUUUUAGAAAAUUAAACCAAAUUUUCUUUAAUUAUUUACUUUUAUUUUUUCAUCUUUUGUCCUGAACUUUAAUUGUAGAAUGUCCUAAAAAAACUAAACUCUGGAGAGCAUUAUUAAAAAGAAAAAAGGGAGAGAAUUGGUUGCUUGCUCGCGAAGUAUGAGGGUCUAAACAAAGUUAUAAUACUAUAUUUCCCAUUAUGAAUCUUUUAAAGAAGCAUUUUGUUUCAGUUUAUCGUAUACUCUUGGUUGACAAGUUUGUGAAGGAAAGGCCCCGAACACACAUUCAGAGCUUUAUUCACCAUUACUUCAAGGUAAAAGUUCUGAAUCAAAACCUCAUAUAUCUUUCUUCUGUAUCAAGUACAUGUUCUGUAAAUUGUUUUCUAUGACUGACUUCACUUGUUUUGAAUUUGAACACAUUUUAGAAUCACUUGAAAGAAAAUGGCAGAACAAAAUAAGGAAUGGGCUGUGGGAAUUGACCUUGGCACAACAUACUCAUGUGUUGCUGUAUGGCUAGAGGAACACUGUCGAGUGGAGAUAAUUCACAAUGAUCAGGGCUGUAGAACAACGCCUUCAUCUGUGGCUUUCACAGAGAAUCAAAGAUUGAUCGGUGAUGCUGCUAAAAAUCAGGCUGCUAUUAACCCAACUAACACUGUCUUUGGUAAAUAAUUGCUUUUUAUUGCAUGUGAAUUCAUUUAAAUGUUUAAACUAGUUAUUUGUGUUGGCUUUUAGUUGCAAAUGAUACCUUAACAUUCAUCAUUUACUUUGUGCCAAAAAGUAUACUUUUUGUCCAGUACUCUAAUUUGUUCUAUAACUUUAAAUUAAUAAAUAUCAUUCCAUAAGACUAUUUUGAUUAGCAUCAUUGAGGAAUAGCCUUAAAUUCGUGCUCGAUUAAUGACUAAUUUUGCAGAUGUGAAAAGGUUAAUCGGCAGAAGAUACAGUGAUCCCAUUAUCCAGGACGAUCUAAAGUUGUGGUCAUUUAAGGUCAUUGCUGAUUCUGAUGACAAACCCAUGAUAGCUGUUUCAUACAAAGGUCAGGAGAAACACAUUUCAGCUGAAGAAAUCUCAUCUAUGAUCCUCACAAAGAUGCGGGAGACUGCAGAAGCGUACUUGGAAUCAGGGGUUAAGAAUGUUGUGGUUACUGUGCCUGCUUAUUUUAAUGACUCUCAGCGACAAGCAACCAAAGAUGCUGGUACCAUUGCUGGCCUCAAUGUCAUGCGGAUAAUCAAUGAACCCACAGCUGCAGCUCUGGCAUACGGCCUUGACAAGAGAGCAAAAUGUGUUGUUGGAGAGAGAAAUAUUUUCAUCUUUGAUCUUGGUGGUGGUACAUUUGACGUGUCUCUGCUCACAAUCAAGGGUGAUGUCUUCAAAGUCAAGGCCACUGCUGGUGACACGCACCUUGGAGGAGAGGACAUGGAUAACAGAAUGGUAAAGUACUUCGUUGAGGAGUUCAAGAGGAAGAACAAAGUUGACAUCAAUGGGAACCGGAGAGCCUUGAGGAGGUUGAGAACUGCUUGUGAGAGAGCAAAAAUAAUAAUAAUAAUUGAAUGCGGACUGACCCACAAACUCAUGGGCCAGCACUUAUGCAGAGCGAGACCGAAAAUCACUCGUGCAAGAUUUGAGGAGCUCAACUUGGACCUCUUUAAAAGGUGUAUGGAGACAGUAGAUAUGUGUCUUGUUGAUUCUAAGAUGGACAAGAGUGAUGUAGAUGAUGUUGUUCUCGUUGGUGGUUCUUCUAGGAUUCCCAAAGUGCAACAGCUAUUGCAAGACUACUUCAAGGGGAAGGAACUGUGCAUGAGCAUCAACCCUGACGAGGUUGUUGCUUAUGGAGCAGCAAUUCCCAACUUAGUGUUAUUAGAUGCUACACGGCUGUCACUUGGUAUAUCUUUAAAAGGAGAUCUCAUGAGUGUUGUGAUUCCUAGGAACACCACCAUUCCUGUUGAGAAGAAAAAAGUAUAUGUUAAGAUCAGAAGAUUUCCCAAUCUUAUGUCCAAAGUAAAGGUUUACGAGUGUGAAAGGACAAUAGCAAGUGAUAACAAUUUGCUUGAUUUUUUUAAUCUUUAUGGCAGUCCUUAUGCUCUUUGAGGCCAUCCUUUAACUGUAAGUUUCAGUAUAGAUGUUGAUGGUACUUUAAGUGUAAUUGCUGAGGAAGAAAGCAGUGGAAGUAAGAACGGGAUUACUGUAACCAACGACAAGGGAAGACUAUCAACUCAACAAAUUAUGAGAAUGAUUCAAGAUGCCGAGAUAUACAAGGCUGAAGACCAGAAGUACCAAAAGAAAGUUCAAGCAAUUGAUGCUAGCCAGCAGACAGAAACAGAGGUGUUUGUGGAUCAUCUGAAUGAGGUGAAGAGCCUCAUUGAACUCAUUAUGAGGAUUAACUAGUUUGUUUCAAAACUCAAAUUUGGAAAAUCGAUUAUGCUUCUUGAAAAACAUCACAAUCGAUUUUUUAAAUUAUUCUGAAUGUAUAGUGUUGAUAAAAAAAAUAAGAUAAACCAGUUAUUUAGUUUCUCAAACCACUUUUCUUGUUCCUCAAAGCACGAGCUCUCUCGUUUUGUUCUAGGAAGAAGAGCAAAUCACAACAAACAAAACUAUCACAAAACUAAUUUUAUUUAUACACAAAGUUCACGUUCAUGAGUCUACAAUUUUUUUGUCAAGAUUCUUUUGCACCCAGCACUGUAAAGAAGAAAACCGAAAACUCAUUCACAUGCAGAUGCCUACAUUGUUUAAUAUAUUUGAUGGAAGGGUAACAAAAUAAAUUAGUAUUUGUGCUUCUAUAUUCCGCGCAAAUCUUCUCAGUUUUAUGAAGAGUGAAAAAACUAUCUACCCUGCUCUCCCAUCCGCACUCACACUCUCAUAUACACUCAUCCAAACAAAAACUCUUUCCACUUCCCUUCCUCCUCUUUUGUCACACCUUGAAGCAAAUAGGAUGUAAGAUUGAGGACAUGCAAAUGAACAAGAUUACGUGAACCUUCCUAACCCAUUAGACAUCAUAUGAUAGUUUUAUUUAUAUAUUGAUUUGAUCUAUUUAGAAAAAAUGUCAAAUCUAAGCAUUUAUAAGCAAAGUUGGAAGUUUUUAGAAAAUAGUAGGCUUGAACCUCUUUUAAGUUAUAGUAUUUUUUUUUUUAUGCUAUAUCAAUAUUAUAUGAGUUAAAAUUGUUUUAAAUAAUUUUCAUUUUUGAGAUCCAUCUAAUACUCCAAACCAAACAAGCAUUAUCAACAAUUCCAUUUUUAUGCAAAAUUCAUCCAUAGAUAAAAAUAAAACAUGCAACAAAAAUAACUAACUGAAAAAUAAAUUAUACACCAUAAUAACUUUAUAUUAUCAUACAAUGACACAGUGUAAAAUAAAGAUAUUAACUUUUACUAUUAUCAAAACUUUAUCUGCCAAACGUUUAAAAUCAAACAAUUUCAACAAAAUCUUUAAAUUUUAUUGGACUUUCCUCAUCUGUAUCUAUUUCUACAGAAAUGGCUUUAACUGCUUACUCGUAUUAACAGCUACUUUCGUAUAAAAUAUAUGUUGACAAAUUAUUCAUGGGCAUAAUUUAUUCUAAAUUUUUCACCAAACACUUGCAAAUAUCACUCAAUUCACAAGAUAAACCGGGCCAUAAAUUAUCUAUUCCAGACGAAACCAUGAAGCAUAAAAUUGACAACUGAAAGUAGCUAAAUAAACUAAAAGUUCAUGAAAAUCGAGAGUUAUUUUCGUAACUUCAGAUAAGCCUUUUUCAAAAGCGAUAAAAAUGAACUCCUACUCAACCGUACAAAAUACUAAAAAUGUAGAAAAUAUCAAUACACCAAUUCUUCCAUCUUAACAAUGCAAUGCUACAUAGUAUCACUAGCAAAAUAAAACCGGUAAAACACAACUAAAAAAAAAGAUAGUCCCAGGGAACAGCAAGGGGACAAAAAUAUCAACUCUGAGGCGAUGCUUUAGCAACGGCAGUCUGAGGCUGAGUGUUCCCACUGGCAUUACCAUCGGCAGUAUAUGCUGGAGCCUGAGUAUAACCAGCACCAUAAGAACUACUGCUGUAUGGAGGCGGUGCCUGACCAUAAGUAGGCUGGCCACCCUGAGGUGCACCAUAUGUUUGAGAACCAUACCCUGGUUGCCCUGCACCAUAUCCCGAAGGUGGUGCUCUCUGAGCACCAGAUUCUGGUUGGGGUUGAGAAUAACCAGAUGGUGGAGGCUGCGCAGGAUAUGCUGACUGACCAUAGCCUCCUACCGCACUAGGUGACUGUGACUGUCCAUAAACAGGAGGAUUAGCACUUGGCUUUUGAGAUUGAGGGGCUCCAUAACCUGGCUGUGGUUGACUUCCAUAAGCAGCUUGGGAUGUAGGGGGAACCCCAUAACCUGACUGAGGAGUUCCCUGAGGUGGGUAGCUGGCAGUGUUUGAGCUGGGCUGUUGGCUGGUAGGAUAACCUUGCUGUGGCUGUUGGGUAGAUGGAGCUUGGGCUGAAUCUCCCUGAGAUGCAUAACUUGCAGUGUGGCCAUCUGGUGCUGAGUUAUUCCCACUACCAUAGCCGGUAGUAGCUGACCCAUAGCCUUGCUGCUGAUCAUAUGCUGGUGGCUGUCCAUACCCUGAUUGAGAUUGUGCAUUGUAUGCAUUAUAGCUGUCCUGAGCAUAACCCUGUCCGGGUUGGCUAUAACCAAAAGAAGGUGGUUGACUGUAACUGUAAGCAGAGCCAUCCGCUGGAGGUGCAGGGCCUCCAGGAUUUUGCGGUUGCUGUGGCUGUUGACUAUAGUAAUCAUAGCCACCAGCUUGAGUAGACUGUUGGUGAGGUGGUGCAGAAGACUGGUCCCAGCUGGUGGAAUAUCCACCUGGUUGUUGAGGAGGAUAGCCUGCAUAAGGUGGUUGAGGCAUAUUAUACUGAGGUGAUGGACCAGAAUAUGCUCCAGGUUGCAUAUAGCCAUAACCAGGUUGCUGCAUUUGAGCAGGGGGAGCCCAGUUCGAGGGUGGUCGAGAUUGGUAGCCUUGCUGAGGAUAUCCACCAGACAUUGAAGGAUUUCUAACACGAUUCUGUGGAGACAAAUUCAAACCAAAUAUGAAGAGUGAAUUCACCCAAGUUUCCACAUUUCGAGUACAGAAAUCAACAGAUGCACACACAUACACAGGUUAAACUUACGCAGUUAAGAAUAAACAUGAAGAACACAAGAUAAAGUAUACAAGUUGCAUAAAAAGAUUGCAUACAAGAAUAGAAAGGGAUAUAUAUACCAACAUACCGUACUGGUUCGUGAUAAAACUGAGUUACUCCAGCAGCACACCUUUUCCCUAUUCGAAUUGAAUGGGUACAAAAGGAAGCACAGACCAAAGAAGCAGACAAGCAUACAAUUUGAAUUGCUUAAAAAGGCAAUCCAUCAUAUAGUAUCACAAAAUAUGUAUGAUCUUAUCUCAAUUAUUACACCAUAUAAUAUAUUCUUCAUAAUCAUAUUAAUUCAACUAGAGUAUCAGGACUACAAAUAUUUUACUGCAUAUGAUGAAGGAGUAACCAUAAAUAUACAGACUGUCAAGACCACUUCCCUGUUCUCCCAUGUACCUCCUUUUAACCUUUGUUUAACCCACUCUAACAGGUUAACCUCAAAGGAUUAUAAAAUAAAAGAAAAUUAAAUUAAAUAUUAUUUGAGUAGAACAGGAAUUGAAAAUAGGGACCUGAAAAUGUAUUUAAUGUGUGUAACUCGAGCGUCAAAACUAUCAGUUAAAGGGCACAAGAUUAAGAAAAACAGUUGAAUGAUAAGACAGAUAAAAAGUGGGCAUGGGCUAUAGAAAGGCAAUGAUGCCACAAGAAAUGAACAACCCACUACACACAUCCGAAACAACAGACGGAUCAUAAAAGAAGUCUUGACACAUAACUUGUUAGUUUAAACAAUUAUAACUAUAAAUUGAUGAAGUAAUAGUAUAGGAAAGUUAUUUUUCCUCACAAUAGCAACUACAGGUUAUUAUGCCAAAUGUAAGUCCAGCAUAAGACACAAAUAUAAAAUAUUUUUUCAAAUAUAUGAAGUUUUUACGAAUUAACUAAAAAGCACAAUUGGCAUGGUUGAAAAGGAUUUCAACACAAUAAUCAAUAUAGUUUAGUAAGGACACUGUAAGUAAAAAAAUGUAUCAAUAGGAGACUUACUGCCCUUGAUAACAAUUAUCAAAACUGAGAUUUAGAACCAUACCAGGGCAUGAUGAGGGAACACCAACAAAGGAAUUCAUGUUGGUGUCACCAAUGGUCCAAUAGACACUAUAAUCCUACAAUAGUCCCAAUAACAAGAUCAGUCAUAGGAUACACAGUUAAUAAUAUUCCAUUGUUGAACAGGCUAUAAUCCCAAUGAGAAUCCACUUGGACAAAAAAAUGUCAUAAUAAUAGUAGCCUUCAUGGCCCCCAGCAACCUAGCCCACAAAAGCGUUGAAAGACCCACCACACUAAUGAACUGGGCCAUGAGAAAAACUUUACCACAGUUAAAACAGUCUUUGCAAGAUCUUGGCAUCUUGGGGAGAAAAGACAAUCCAAUUCGAAAAUAAUCCCAUUAAGGUCCUCACUUUCUGUAUGUAUAAAAAUCGGUAUGAUUUAUUAUCUAAUAAUAUAGCAGAUAACAAUGACACACAAACACAUAUAGACACAGUUUUUUACCAUUGACCUAAGCUAAGACCAAACUAAAGAUACUGAUCUGUGAAUAUGGUACUACUAAAUCAGGACCCAAUUCAUGAACAUACCAUACAUUUGUUAACACCAUAAUAUAGCUGAUAAAUAUCAUGGAUACUACAGUGGCUUGUCUCCCUAAUCAUGUCUGUUUUUGGUGAGCAAAUGCAACUAAGCGGAGGACAAUUGGAGAUUACAAGUAAAAACAUCAUAACAUCAAUUGGCAAUUCAGUGUGUUUUGUUUUAAAGUUGGGAAGUCUCAAACGGAAGUUGAACUCAUUCAGACUAGAGAGAUGGAUUGGAGUGUGUAACUGUUAAACAAGCACACAAUUUAUCUUCCACCAUUUUGCAUUUUUUUAUACUAGUCUUGAAACAAAACUAUGCACUAAUUCUCUUCCAGGAACAAUACAACAAGUAACAGACAUCCAUCGAUAUAGAUGUAUCAAUUAUCAAAAGAUUACUUGUUGAAUAUACUUACAGCUGAAGAAACAGUGCUUAUUUAAACAUAUACUUACAGCUAAAAAGUCAAUUUAAUCAGGAGAUCAAUGAAUUCAGAACAUAUAAGUUGAUUGAUAAUGCUCACGAUAUGAAGUAAUAUCAUUAAUAAGAUCAAUGAAUUGAUAAACAUGGACGUAAACAUCAUUUAUGCCAACUAAGGUGAAAUCAUCACAUAAUUUACCAAAUUAUUCUCUCCCAGCAAUGAAACAGAAUAAAUUAUUGAAGACAAUCCAAAACUCGUCUAACAUGUUAAUGAAUCCAUCAGUUCUAGUUUUAUAUUUUAUUUUAACAUCAUACCAAAUAACAAAGUUCUAGUUCUAAAUUUUAUUUUAAUAACAUACAAAAAUAACGAAGACCCAGGAGGCAAUUACAAGUGCACAAUAUCAUCCUUACAAUCACAUAAAGUCACCAAUGUGAUCAAAUAAACAUUCUAAAAGAUGAUUAUAUAUCAGCAACAAAAAGAAAACAGAACCGAGUACAAAAUCCACAAUUUAAACACUAAACUGUACUUCGCACAAGGCAGGCAUGACAUGCUAAGCCAAAUGUAUCCACCAGAGAAAAUUUUUAACAUACCUCACCACUGAUGACUUGAUUAACCAACUGCUUUGCAGACUCAAUUUGCUCAGAAGUCCCAUCAAUUUUUAAUGUUCUUUCAGUUGAUGUGUCACCUGGGGGAAGAUGAAGUGGUAUCACCUGGAAAAAUAUAGACAUUAGUAUAAAGUGACUCCAGAGGAAUUUCCAAGCCUCGAGUGUCAGAAGUUAUCAUACUCUUUCAUAUUAGCAGUAAUCACAAAGCCACAGUAAAAAAACAUAUCACGAAAUCCAAGCAACUAUGAUUUAGCACCUAUGUCUAAUACACAAUGAAGACAACAAUAUACUCUUUAUGACUUAGAAGUGAAAACCUGAAUCCGUGCACCAGUAGAAGCUUGCAUAUUCUUUAUAGUUUCUCCUCCUUUACCAAUUAUAAGACCAACCUGAAGAUGCAUACAACAAACUAUAUCAACCAAAUCAAUAACACAGAAAUGAAUUAAAACAUUGCACAAAUCUUAAGAUUAUACAAAUCUUAAGAUUAUACAAAUCUCCUUUUUCAGACCUUAUUAUUUGGGAUUUUCAUGACAAAUUCAUCGGACCCAGCUUGUCCAGUCAGUCUCCGAGCAACAAUGCCAGAACCCCCAGAUUCAGCCUGGUACAGAAACAAUUCACGCCAGAUAUAUGUUAAUAUUAAAUCUUCGAGGAAAUUCAUUCGGAAACUAUUCAUGUUAUUCAUAUUAUUACAACUAUCAUUCGGACAACAUCUGAGAUAAUUACACAAAUAUCCCCACAUGCAUAAUUUGCAGAAAAAAAAAACUAAUAAUGAUGCGUGAAACCUCAGCAAGAACUUCAUUGAUGAGUUUCUCAGCAGAGGCAAUUGCCUCGGGAGUGCCCAUAAGCUCAACCGUCCUAGUAGUGGAAUUAGGGUCCGCGUCCAUAUCACGAGUAACUUGAAUUUUGGCACCAGACUGCAACUGGAGAUACUUAAUGGUCUCUCCAGCUUUGCCAAUAAU